This is a long non-coding RNA of Tachysurus fulvidraco (yellow catfish), 1184 nucleotides long. RefSeq lists it as uncharacterized. The record is from RefSeq and is a predicted model, not a curated record. NCBI's taxonomy places the organism in Eukaryota, Metazoa, Chordata, Actinopteri, Siluriformes, Bagridae. The transcript has 4 exons.
CGGAGGCGUCUCGUGACCAGAACCGGAUUCUUCAUUUCCUGGUUUUGUUGCAGUUUAUUUUCUAAGUCGUCAUAACAAUCAGGGAGCAAACAGCUCGGAUUCUAACAUUUUCGAUCUACAUUACAUUUCUAUUUGUGUAUGGUUGAGGAGUGAGAACGGCAAAAUGGGCAAUAUACAGGGAAAUUUGCCAGACUCUAAAGUCAAGGCAGCGAAGGAAGCAUUGAGCUUCGGAUGCACAGGAAAUGGGCUAAAGAAGGAUCAAAUUGGUCCAGUCCAGGACAUCAUCUUCGCAAAUAAAAAGCUGCAGGCCAUGUUCACAGCUCAAGAAGUCGACUCUCAUCAGUUUAGCAUUCAGAGGUUAGAAGACUUCUGACGGAAGUGGACAUGAAACAUUCCUGUUUCAGUGUGUGUGUGUGUGUGUGUUUGUGUUUGUGUGUGUGUGUGUGAGAGAGAGAGAGAGAGAGAGAGAGAGAGAGAGAGAGAGAGAGAGAGUUGUUAAAACUGAUGUUUUCUCUUUUUCACCUUUUCUACAUGUGCAAGUGUUUAAAAGAAAGCAUUUCUUUAUUUUUAUAUUAUUAUUGUGGGAAAUUUACUUGUCCUAAGCCCAGAUAAAAGGGGAAGGUUGCUUCAGGAAGAAACUUUGCCAUAAAACCCGCAGCAAAUGAAAUUAUACAAAUCAGAUGAUCCACUGUGAGACCCUGAAUAUGCGGCAGCUGAAAGAACAAUAACCGCAACAUUGUGGGAAAUGUACUUGAAUUAAAUGAUUUCUGAUUGUUUAACAAUGUUUUCUAGUUAGACAGUAUUUCUAAAAAUCUGUAGAUAAAUUAUUUUAGCAUCUUACAUGAUCAGGGGAAAUACAUGCUAUGUAUUGUUUUUCGUUUCUCUAUGACGAAUCAGACUAUUUUCACAGCAAUGAAGCUCUACUUUAUAUUCUAUAGUGAAGUGAACUAUUUAUUAGAAUCCAAUUCAUGCACUUUAAAAAACAGCACAAUUCAUAACCUUGUAGUUUCUGAAGCAGUGUGGCUUUUAAUAAUAAUUGAUCAUUUGUUUUGGGUCGAUUAUUAUAAAUGAACCAAAUAUUGUCAUUAUGAGAUACAAAAAGGCUUCAUGGGACAAUUUUUUUUUUAAUGUUUUUUUUAAAUUAAUAAAUAAAUUAAAAUGACCUUGAAUGUGUCAAUACUGUA